RNAcentral lists this ribosomal RNA (253 nucleotides) under uncultured bacterium. Its description in RNAcentral is "partial 16S ribosomal RNA". It matches the Rfam family "Bacterial small subunit ribosomal RNA", at positions 524 to 776 of the family's 1533-position model. The record is from RNAcentral.
UACGGAAGGGGCUAGCGUUGUUCGGAAUUACUGGGCGUAAAGAGCGCGUAGGCGGCUUGCCAAGUUGGGGGUGAAAUCCCGGAGCUCAACUCCGGAACUGCCUUCAAAACUGGCAAGCUCGAGUCCGGAAGAGGGGCGUGGAAUUCCCAGUGUAGAGGUGAAAUUCGUAGAUAUUGGGAAGAACACCGGUGGCGAAGGCGGCGCCCUGGUCCGGUACUGACGCUGAGGCGCGAAAGCGUGGGGAGCAAACAGG